GUACCUGUGGCUCAAAGGAGUAGAGUGCCAGCCCCAUAUGCUGGAGGUGGUGGGUUCAGGCCCACCACCUGCC
Molecule: transfer RNA, 73 nt
Filed under: Otolemur garnettii (small-eared galago)
Lineage: Eukaryota; Metazoa; Chordata; Mammalia; Primates; Galagidae
Rfam family: tRNA
About the family: Transfer RNA (tRNA) molecules are approximately 80 nucleotides in length. Their secondary structure includes four short double-helical elements and three loops (D, anti-codon, and T loops).
Source: Rfam by way of RNAcentral